Molecule: long non-coding RNA, 935 nt
Organism: Sapajus apella (tufted capuchin)
Lineage: Eukaryota; Metazoa; Chordata; Mammalia; Primates; Cebidae
Exons: 2
Source: RefSeq, a predicted model, not a curated record
CCUGGGUGACAAGAGGGAGACUCCAUCUUAAGAAAAAAAAAAAAAGGAGAAAGCAAAGUUGUUAACUGUCCUAUCAUGCUACAUUGAACCUUUUAGAAAACUUGGCAUAAUUUUUUUUUCUUGUUAUCGUGUAUCAUAAAUGCCAGUAAUCUCCAGGAUUAGCAACACAAAACUAAACCUCUCCACAUUAUCUUUCCUGAGUGGUGUUUUCUUUGGUGAUUGCUUCCCUCCGCCACCUUAAUUUUCAGAAGAACCGAAAUAGUGACAUCUGCACUGAGUUAUUGUAGUAUAAAACAGCUCAGAGGAUCUAAAACUAAAAUUGCUUUUUAGAUAUGAAUGAAAAAUUUUUUAUAAGUCGUUGGGAGAUCCUUGCUUUUGCCUAAUAUGGUAAAGGUAGUUGUCAAAAGUAACUACAUAUAUAUUUUAUAGUUUACAGAAAAAACUAAUGCCCUGCAUUCUCCCUGGAAAUCUUCUAACCAGCAGUUUUACUUAGGUUCAAAACGAUUUAUAGUUGACCUUCAUAAUCACAGAUGCCCAACAGUAUUUGUCCAUAUCUCUCUUAUGAAUAACAUUCUGCUUGAAGUCCGGUUGUUUGUGUAUUUGUCUUAUCUCUCCUACAGAUUGCUGAGUCCUCAAGAGUGAGAACAAGAACUUACUCAUGUCUGUAUCUUCCACAGGACUUGUGUUUUAUAGGUACCCUUUGAUCUUUCCUACUUAAGCAGCCUGGACCCUGGUCCAUUAAAGUAUUUCCACAAUUGGACCAUCUAUUCCUGAACCAAGUAGGAGAGUUUCUACUUUGAAUUCUCCUUCUGCAUUUUAGAAAUUAGGGGAAUUCUGUCCUUAUUGUAGAUCACUUAUGGAUUAUUAGAUGGUACGUCUGUCAUUAUGUCUAUCCCGGUGUGAUUGUGUUACAAUAAAAAUCGAAUCAACACAAA